AGAAGGGAUGGAGACAAAAUGAAGAUGGGGCAGGGAACCGGAUCAGUUGCAGGGGAGGGGGAGAGACGGGGCGCAGAUGGUCUGUGUCGGGUCAGUUAGUUAACAAUUAAAAUAUUUAAAACAGUUUAAAAACUCUGGAAGGCCAGGCCAAGCAGGUUUUAAGGGCUCUCCUGAAGGCCAACAAGAAACUCAAGCUACGGAUUUCUGCUGGGAGUGCAUUCCACAGGCCAGGAGCAGCUACAGAGAAGGCCCGCAUCUGAGUCGCCACCAGACAUAUCGGUGGUAACUGGAGACAGACUUCCUCAGAUGACAAUGUGCAGUGGGAUCGUGCAGAAGAAGGCGGUCUCUAAGAGACAAGAUUUGGGACCUAUCAUGCUUUCUAUUUUAAAAUAUUUUUAGUCGUUCUGCUGCUGAAAAUAACAAAUCACUAUAGUCAACUUGAGGAAACUGCUCCUUUUUAAAGUAAGCAUUUCAAAAAUUCCCAGAGAGAAGGGCAUACUGCCAGUCACCAGACUCCUGGAAGCAGCUUGUUUUUUCUUUCACUCACUAUGGCUUCAUGAUACAUUAACUUGUUUAAUUAAACAGAAGUGUACUUAUUAACA
Long non-coding RNA from Hemicordylus capensis (graceful crag lizard), 602 nucleotides. RefSeq lists it as uncharacterized. NCBI's taxonomy places the organism in Eukaryota, Metazoa, Chordata, Lepidosauria, Squamata, Cordylidae. The record is from RefSeq and is a predicted model, not a curated record. The transcript has 3 exons.